UAGAAUCAUGGAGGUAGAGCAACUGUUUGAACUAGGGCCCCUUAUCGGGGUACCGAAUUCUGAUAAACUCCGAAUGCCAUUGAUUCAUGUCCGGGAGUCAGACUGCGAGUGAUAAGAUCCGUAGUCGAAAGGGAAACAGCCCAGACCACCAGUUAAGGUCCCAAAGUUUAUGUUAAGUGGAAAAGGAUGUGGGGUUGCUUAGACAACUAGGAUGUUGGCUUAGAAGCAGCCAUCAUUUAAAGAGUGCGUAAUAGCUCACUAGUCGAGUGACCCUGCGCCGAAAAUUUACCGGGGCUAAACAUAACACCGAAACUGUGGAUAGAACCAUUGGUUCUAUGGUAGGAGAGCGUUCUAAGGGCGUUGAAGCUAGAUCGUGAGGACUAGUGGAGCGCUUAGAAGUGAGAAUGCCGGUAUGAGUAGCGAAAGACGGGUGAGAAUCCCGUCCACCGAAUGACUAAGGUUUCCUGGGGAAGGCUCGUCCUCCCAGGGUUAGUCGGGACCUAAGCUGAGGCCGAAUGGCGUAGGCGAUGGCCAACAGGUUGAUAUUCCUGUACCUGUUUGUUUUGUUUGAGCAAUGGAGGGACACAGGAGGCUAAGAAAUGCGUGCUGCUGGAUAUGCACGUCCAAGCAAUGAGUCUUGAAGUGAGUGAAAUGCUUGCUUCUCUAAGGAUGAGUUGUGAUGGGGAGGGAAAUUAAGUACCGAAGUUUCUGAUGUCACACUGUCAAGAAAAGCUUCUAGUGAGAAACAAACAGCCCGUACCGCAAACCGACACAGGUAGUCGAGGAGAGAAUCCUAAGGUGUGCGAGAGAACUCUCGUUAAGGAACUCGGCAAAAUGACCCCGUAACUUCGGGAGAAGGGGUGCUGACCAUUGGUCAGCCGCAGUGAAUAGGCCCAAGCGACUGUUUAUCAAAAACACAGGUCUCUGCUAAAUCGAAAGAUGACGUAUAGGGGCUGACGCCUGCCCGGUGCUGGAAGGUUAAGAGGAUGGGUUAGCUUCGGCGAAGCUCAGAAUUGAAGCCCCAGUAAACGGCGGCCGUAACUAUAACGGUCCUAAGGUAGCGAAAUUCCUUGUCGGGUAAGUUCCGACCCGCACGAAAGGCGUAACGAUUUGGGCACUGUCUCAACGAGAGACUCGGUGAAAUUAUAGUACCUGUGAAGAUGCAGGUUACCCGCGACAGGACGGAAAGACCCCAUGGAGCUUUACUGCAGUUUGAUAUUGAGUGUCUGUACAGCUUGUACAGGAUAGGUAGGAGCUAUUGAAGCCAGGACGCCAGUCUUGGUGGAGGCAUUGGUGGGAUACUACCCUUGCUGUAUGGCCACUCUAACCCUC
This 1332-nucleotide ribosomal RNA is filed under the name Desemzia incerta. Its description in RNAcentral is "Bacterial large subunit ribosomal RNA". It matches the Rfam family "Bacterial large subunit ribosomal RNA", at positions 889 to 2230 of the family's 2925-position model. Lineage: Bacteria; Bacillati; Bacillota; Bacilli; Lactobacillales; Carnobacteriaceae. The record is from Rfam by way of RNAcentral.